This 602-nucleotide ribosomal RNA is filed under the name Salmonella enterica. RNAcentral's name for it is "partial 23S ribosomal RNA". It matches the Rfam family "Bacterial large subunit ribosomal RNA", at positions 420 to 923 of the family's 2925-position model. Lineage: Bacteria; Pseudomonadati; Pseudomonadota; Gammaproteobacteria; Enterobacterales; Enterobacteriaceae. The record is from RNAcentral.
GGACACGUGGUAUCCUGUCUGAAUAUGGGGGGACCAUCCUCCAAGGCUAAAUACUCCUGACUGACCGAUAGUGAACCAGUACCGUGAGGGAAAGGCGAAAAGAACCCCGGCGAGGGGAGUGAAAAAGAACCUGAAACCGUGUACGUACAAGCAGUGGGAGCCCCACCACUAAGCCAGUGGUGAACUCCACAUACGCAUCCUUUGCUGAGGAUACGGUUAACGGAGCGAAAGCGAUGUUCAACCGCAAAAGAAGCAGAGGGGGCUUAGUGGUGGGGUGACUGCGUACCUUUUGUAUAAUGGGUCAGCGACUUAUAUUCUGUAGCAAGGUUAACCGAAUAGGGGAGCCGGAGGGAAACCGAGUCUUAAUUGGGCGUUAAGUUGCAGGGUAUAGACCCGAAACCCGGUGAUCUAGCCAUGGGCAGGUUGAAGGUUGGGUAACACUAACUGGAGGACCGAACCGACUAAUGUUGAAAAAUUAGCGGAUGACCUGUGGCUGGGGGUGAAAGGCCAAUCAAACCGGGAGAUAGCUGGUUCUCCCCGAAAGCUAUUUAGGUAGCGCCUCGUGAAUUCAUCUCCGGGGGUAGAGCACUGUUUCGGCUAGG